This 106-nucleotide ribosomal RNA is filed under the name Enterobacter hormaechei. RNAcentral also lists the same sequence under 9 other names. The record is from RNAcentral. Lineage: Bacteria; Pseudomonadati; Pseudomonadota; Gammaproteobacteria; Enterobacterales; Enterobacteriaceae.
UAGCGCGGUGGUCCCACCUGACCCCAUGCCGAACUCAGAAGUGAAACGCCGUAGCGCCGAUGGUAGUGUGGGGUCUCCCCAUGUGAGAGUAGGGAACUGCCAGACA